UACAGAGGUCUCAAGCGUUGUUCGGAUUCAUUGGGCGUAAAGAGCGCGUAGGCGGCCAGAUAAGUCCGGUGUGAAAGUCAAAGGCUCAACCUUUGAAUGCCGCUGGAAACUGUCUGGCUAGAGUCCGGGAGGGGCGAGUGGAAUUCCUGGUGUAGCGGUGAAAUGCGCAGAUAUCAGGAGGAACACCAAUGGCGAAGGCAGCUCGCUGGGACGGUACUGACGC
This 223-nucleotide ribosomal RNA is filed under the name uncultured bacterium. RNAcentral's name for it is "partial 16S ribosomal RNA". It matches the Rfam family "Bacterial small subunit ribosomal RNA", at positions 524 to 746 of the family's 1533-position model. The record is from RNAcentral.